AUGGCGUUCUCCUCCCUCUCCACCCCUUCCUCCUCCUCCCCCUCCUCGUCUUUCACCCUCCCCACCAAGCCCUCCCCGGGCGCAGGCUCCCUCUCCUUCUCCAAGGCGUCCACGGGGAGGUUCAGGAUGGCGGCGGUGAGGGCGGAGGCGGUGGACACGUCCAUCAGCCCGCGGGUGAGCGCGCUGCGGCCGUCCAAGACCAUGGCCAUCACCGACAUGGCCAGCGCGCUGCGGCAGGCCGGGGUGCCCGUCAUUGGACUCGCCGCUGGGGAGCCCGACUUCGACACGCCGGCGGUGAUCGCCGAGGCUGGGAUAAAUGCAAUCAGGGAUGGGUCUACAAGGUACACACCUAAUGCAGGGACUAUGGAGCUGAGGAAAGCUAUCUGCAACAAGCUUCAAGAGGAGAAUGGUCUAACCUACAGCCCAGAUCAGGUGCUAGUGAGCAAUGGAGCUAAGCAGUGCAUUACACAAGCUGUUCUUGCUGUUUGCUCACCUGGUGAUGAGGUUUUGAUACCAGCACCAUUUUGGGUCAGCUAUCCUGAAAUGGCUAGGUUGGCUGGUGCAACACCAGUGAUCCUCCCGACAAGCAUAUCAGACAAUUUCCUGCUGAAGCCAGAGUCACUUGCCUCAGUGAUCACUGAGAAAUCAAGGCUCUUGAUUCUAUGCUCUCCAUCUAAUCCAACAGGCUCUGUGUAUCCCAAGGAGCUGCUUGAGGAGAUUGCUGCUAUAGUCAAGAAGUAUCCUAGGCUCCUGGUUCUAUCUGAUGAGAUCUAUGAGCAUAUUAUCUAUCAUCCUGCUAAACACACAAGCUUUGCUGCAUUACCUGGAAUGUAUGACAGGACAUUAACUGUAAAUGGGUUUUCUAAGGCUUUUGCUAUGACUGGCUGGCGACUUGGAUACUUAGCUGCCCCUAAACAUUUUGUCUCAGCUUGUGGAAAGAUCCAAAGCCAGUACACAUCUGGUGCCAGUAGUAUAUCGCAGAAGGCAGGGCUUGCAGCCUUGAACCUUGGUUAUGCCGGCGGUGAAGCAGUUUCAACCAUGGUCAAAGCAUUCCAGGAGCGCCGGGAUUACCUUGUAAGAAGUUUCAGGGAACUGCCAGGAGUAAAAAUAUCAGAACCUCAGGGUGCUUUCUAUUUGUUCCUCGACUUCAGCUCCUACUACGGAUCCGAGGUAGAGGGUUUUGGCACUAUCAAGGACUCUGAGACCCUCUGCAUGUUCCUGCUAGAGAAAGCACAGGUCGCGCUUGUCCCCGGAGAUGCAUUUGGUGAUGACAAGGGUGUUCGUAUCUCCUACGCUGCCGCACUGUCAACGCUACAAUCUGCCAUGGAGAAGAUAAAAGACGCAAUGUCUCUGCUCAAGGCCCCUGCUGCGGUUCAAUAA
Molecule: ribosomal RNA, 1380 nt
Filed under: Triticum aestivum (bread wheat)
Lineage: Eukaryota; Viridiplantae; Streptophyta; Magnoliopsida; Poales; Poaceae
Description: partial small subunit ribosomal RNA
Source: RNAcentral